Molecule: long non-coding RNA, 219 nt
Organism: Hyla sarda
Lineage: Eukaryota; Metazoa; Chordata; Amphibia; Anura; Hylidae
Exons: 3
Source: RefSeq, a predicted model, not a curated record
ACAGAUGACUGAUGCCCGGUGAAAAGGUGAACGUGACAUAUAGCCCCGUCAGCUGCAAGAAAGGAACUACGAAACAGAGGACUAAUGCCCGGUGAAAAGGUGAGCGUGUCAUAUACCCCCGUCAGCUGCAAGAAAGGAACCACGAAACAGAUGACUGAAGCCCGGUGAAAAGAUGAACGUGACAUAUACCCCCAUCAGCUCCAAGAAAGGAACCACGAA